CCUACGGGUGGCAGCAGUGGGGAAUAUUGCGCAAUGGGCGAAAGCCUGACGCAGCGACGCCGCGUGAGGGAUGAAGGUAUUCGGAUCGUAAACCUCUGUCAGCAGGGAAGAACGGUCACUGUGCUAAUCAGCAGUGAAUUGACGGUACCUGCAAAGGAAGCACCGGCUAACUCCGUGCCAGCAGCCGCGGGAAUACGAAGGGUGCGAGCGUUAAUCGGAAUUACUGGGGGUAAAGCGGUCGUAGGCGGGAUGUCAAGUCAAGGGUGAAAUCCCCGCGCUCAACGUGGGAACUGCCGUUGAAACUGGCAAACUGGAGUGUGUGAGAGGAUAGUGGAAUUCCAGGUGUAGGGGUGAAAUGCGUAGAUAUCUGGAGGAACAUCAGUUGCGAAGGCGACUAUCUGGCACAUAACUGACGCUGAGGAGCGAAAGCGUGGGUAGCAAACAGGAUUAGAUACCCUUGUAGUC
Molecule: ribosomal RNA, 465 nt
Filed under: uncultured bacterium
Lineage: Bacteria
Description: partial 16S ribosomal RNA
Rfam family: Bacterial small subunit ribosomal RNA
Source: RNAcentral